Molecule: non-coding RNA, 5236 nt
Organism: Taeniopygia guttata (zebra finch)
Lineage: Eukaryota; Metazoa; Chordata; Aves; Passeriformes; Estrildidae
Source: RefSeq, a predicted model, not a curated record
CCGCAGGAACGCCUGGAUCUCCACUAUUCAUUCUUCAUUUCUUUUUGGCUGGAAUUGUGCAGUUGCACUUUCUUCCUCCUCUAGAAGUGCCACGAGUGGCCAAAGCUGGCAAGUGAGCCGUGUUCCUGAGGCAGUGCAGUCUGGAGCUGAUGGAUGGAGAAUUGCCCUUCCCACUUCCAAAGCAGAGCAAAAAGCCAGGUCCUGGCCCUCUUCCAGCCAAAAGGGAAAGGGCCCCACCAAGCCUUGUUACCCACAGACAACAUGGUAAAGCUGAACACUAAAGGACCUUGGGGGCAUUAUUCUGGAAUUAAAAAGUUGCCAGCUCCAUGGACAACAGAAUUAUUGUUCCUAACCUGAAUGACAUUGAGCAAAAAGAAUGAAGAACGGUGUCACUAAAGUACUACUGACGUUUGCCAAAACACCUCCAGAGUUUCACCAAGGGAUCAGUCAUCAAAAUGUUUUGAAAAUUUAAAGACCAAGGUAGCCAAAGCACACAGUGUCACUAAUUGCUGGGUAUGUUCUCAGCUGAAGUUGGGAGGAAUGGGGUUCCCUUGGAGGGCCCACCCUGUGGGGUGGCCAGAACUCUGUCAAUGGGCUCUGCCUCGUAACGGAGUCAAUGAAGGGACAGUUACAGAAACCUGUGCUGUGGGACACGGGAAUACAACGAUCAGUGUGACAGGAUUCACUCAGAUUUCCCCUCAGGAGAAACCAAACCCUGUUACAGUUAUAGAGGCUACAGUGUCAGAAGAUUUCUGUGCUUUACCAUCACUCCCAAUGUCAGUAGAACUUGGGGUGCUGCAGCUGGUCAGUGUCAGUGUCACACCGCUCCCAGCUGCAGGGCCCCCAUUUAGGGUCCUUCAGCAACGACCACACGGAAGACUUAGGGCCCAGAGAACAUUUUCCACCCAAAGAGUGCCUUGGGUUUCCGAAAGCAAAGGAUUCUGGUUCACCCUGUGCCCCAUGUGCGCUGCCCCAUCCCGUGGAGUUGACAUGAAUGAGCUGAAUGGAUUAUUAGAAGAGGUAGUAAAUUAUACUCUUAAAAUGUCCAAUAGGGCAUUGGAUUAUUAGAAGAGGUAGUAAAUGAUACUGUUAAAAUGUCCAAUAGCACAUCCUAUGAACUCCAACAAAUGGGGACUCCAGAGAACCGCAUGGACUUGGAUUAUCUGCUUGCUUGCCAAGGAGGAACCUGGGCUAUCAGGGGACGGGGAUGUUGCACUGCUAGCAGUGAUGGGUUUGAAGGCCAACAGCCAGGAAUCACCUUGACAGAAAGAACAGUAGAAGAGUGGCAGAAGAAAAUUCUUCUCGGUGGGAUUGGCUUCACGGCUGCCAAAUUAGAGGCUGCUGUGAAAUGCAUUGGUGGCAGGGCCUGUCAUCAUUGCAGUGUGUGCACUUGGUGAGUUGCUGUGACACUUUGUGCUGGGAAGUGGAAUAUUGGGACCUUUCUUAAAAGAGACAGUCUCAAGAAAAGAGAGGCAUUUGAUAAAUAACAGAGAAUAGCAACUAUUUAGGCAUGUUUUAAAAGGAACGUGAAUAGCUCUGAGUAAUGAAGUUAAACUGCACUUAAUUGUAGAACAAGAGGAGAUGCCUUUAUGCCUAAUACCUAAAUCUAAGCUGUGUUACUGAAAGAAUUGUUACAAAGGUUGUAGUUGAUUGUAGGUCUCAGGACCGAUCAAAGUACCAAGGCCUGAACAGGUUGUGAUCAAGGCCUGAACAGGCCCUGAGGCAAAGCUCACCUCUAGAUGAACCUUCCAAGCAAAUGUUGUAUUUGUAUCCACUCAUUAAGGAAGCAUGAUUAACAACAGGAUCAAUGCAUGUGUUCCUUGAUAAAACACGGAUUUAUCUUUCUGUAUUUAGAAACAGACAAGGCCCCAUCUGGCCUUGUUUGGGGGUGAAGGAUCAAAGUCAACUCCCUUGGUUCCUCCUUCAGCCCUGGCCAGGCUUUGGGAGAAAGCAGUCAGGAGAAUGAAAGCAGAUGUUCUCGCAGUGGCAGUGAUGCCAGCUUGUUUGUUUAACAGUGUAAAAGCUGGGUCCUCUCACAGCUUUGGGCUUGGAGCCUCAUUGCUUGCAGAGGUGGAGGCACCUGCAGGAAUUCCCAGUGUCUGGGAGUGGCUCUCCAGUCCUUGGCUUCCCCCAGCUGAUGUGUGGCUGUGGAUGAUGGUAAAGCCUGAGGCUAACUGGUGAUGGAUCUUUCCUUAAUCACUCCAGGCAAUCUCUGGUAGCAAUGACUGGAUGCAUUGCUGAGCUUCUUUUGUAAUGCUUUGCUAAUGAUGAUGUGCUUUGCUGAGCUUAUCCUUUUGUAAUUCUUUGCAGCUGUGCAUGAUAUAAAUGACACAAUUCCUUCAGUUGGUGUCUGUGUCUUUGGUGCUGACCCUGCCCACUGGUGAGACAGGGCCCCCUCCAGCCUAGAGUGUUACCUAGGAAGAGAAAAGCCAUCACUCCAAAUGUCCCCCCUUCCUCCUUGUUCCCCCCACUUUAUACCCUGAGCGUGAUGCCUGCCCUAUGGUCUGGGGUAUCCCCGGGGUCAGUGGGGGUCACCUGUCCUGGCUGUGUCCCCUCCCAAGCUCCCCCGCAGCCCCAGCCCCUCUCCAGCGUGGCCAGAGGAGGGGCAGGCCAGGCUUUGGCUCAGUGGGAGCUCAGCAAGAACAAAAGCAUCUCUGUGUGCCCAGCCCUGUGCUCAGCACCCGGCCCAGCAGCAGCGUCUCAGUGAAUGCUUGUGAAUGGAGUCCUCCCUCCUUUGUCCAGGUGGUUUCAACAUUGUGUUGCAAUCCCUGUCGCUGGCUUGUGUGUUUUUAAAAACUUCUUAGAAGAGUAUCUUAACAGUACAUAAUGAUAAAAUAUAUGACAAUUUUAUUUGCACGAAUUGUCAUAUCCAUAUAGCAGCAUCUUUUAAUAAUUUUGACUAUGUUUAAAUGAGAUCACCAAGAGAGACUAUAGCUCUGCACAGACAUGUGCAGGCAUGCCUAGGAAUUUGGCUUGCCUGCAGUUUAUCUGUCCCAGUUAAAGGCAGAUGCAGCCUUUUGCUUCCAUGGACAUUGAUGAGCUGGUAGAUGUGCUAACAGGGAGAGAGCUCACACACAGCAACUGGUCCUGAUCUAAUCACACACAUUCUUACAGUGCUGUUUGGCUCCAACAUGCCCAACUGCAGGAAUAUUUUCAGUUUUCCUUCCUACCUCCUUGGACAGGGAUCACCCAAGUUUGGAUGAGAAGGAGCUUCCCUGGAGUACCUGCAAACAUACUGGGAAUGCUGGUGAGUGGCUCAGAAAGCCCGGCAGACUCUUUACAGUUUGUCCCUAGACAUCUUGUUGAAAAGCUUCAGAACAACAGGAGUGGUGUCACAGGCAGAGGAUGGGGAUCAGCCUCUGAGUCUUGCCUACCCUCUUCUACCGCUUUUCUCCUUUCCUACAGCCCAAAGUGAGAAUUCUAAUUUUUGGCAACAGUAUCUCGUUGAUUUUUAUAGUCUGACAUUUUCCUUAUCCCUUAAUUCUUUGCCUGAGUUCUGCUGCUGCACCACACAAGCUCCCUUUAUCGCUGAGCAUUCUCCACUUGUCUCUAUCAGAUGUCAAGCUAUUGAUUCGGAGGUGAUGUCAAGGUCAUUUGGGAUUCUGACACUUUCCUUGAGAGUUCUCCUUGGGAAUGCUUGGAGAUUUUGGUGACUUUUGGCCAGACACAAAUGUCCUAGUUAUGUUCUAUUUCCUCUUGACAGCUGUACCAGGGAACAAUGUUUUAAUGGGAAUAAUUUAAAUUUUUAAUAUGUCGGUCCCUGAAUAAAGAACGUUCAAGACUGAAGAAAUUCUAAACACUAUCAUACUUAAUGCAAUCCUUAUCCUACCCUAUCUCUUCUUUCUCUUGGAUUUUGAAGAAGAUCAAAGGAAUGAUUUAUUCACAGUCUUUGUAAGUGAGCGCUAGCAGUUAUGUUCAAUGUGCUAAUCAUGUGCAGCAGCAAAGCAGAAAUGGAAACUGGACUAUCUGCAAAUGUUGCCUCUUUUUUCCCCCAUGCCUUCUGAUUACUCUGUGGAUGCAGCAUCCCACAAAAUAUGUGAAGUUUACAUAGAGAGCAACAGACAGAACAAGUUUCAACAAGAAUUCCUUUCUUCCUGGCUGAAGUGUACAAACCCAGCAACUGUGCUCCCAACACAAGCUGCAGUUUCCAUGCCUCCUGUACAUGUGCUUGUGUUUUUGUGGGGCUUUUCAAAACAAACUGGGCUGAAUCACACUGCAGGAGCUUCCCAGGCUGUGUCCUUGGCCAAGCCUGGAACAGCAGACUCACACCAAAACCUCUUGCCUGCAGGCAGGUAGGGACAGCAAUUGUUUACUCACUUGCACGAAUCAUGAGGGGGUUUUCCCUUCACUUUAUAGUCCCAUAUGGUGAUGCUUCUCCUGUUGGGCACUCUCAGCCUCUUCUCAUGCACCCAAACUGCCUCCAGGAGCGCAUCCUCCAUCCUCUGACCCACCCCAGCCACCUUUGGGCAUGAGAUCCUGCUCACUCCCACUCCUGUUCCCUUCUCUGGAGCCACACUCAUCCUGCCUAUCACACCGUCCUGCACUUCCACCUAAUUUUGUAUCCCGACUUUUAAUUAUGGCAGGUGGGCCAGAAUUUCUACACGAGAGACAGAAGAAGUGACCCAAGAGAUCUCCAAGAGACACAAAAAGUGUGUCUUGCUCUGACAGUCAGCUGAAGGAUUUGCUCUCCCAGUGCCUGCAUUUCCCAGAACACACCCCAGCCUCUCCAGGCAGUGAUUUUCCCACAUCCCAAACCCCUCACUGUCCAUUUCCAGCCCUCCCAGGAAUGAGGUCCUCGUGGCACUCGUACCCCAGGUACCAAGACAGACAAAACCAGCCAGCAUAGACAGGUUUGGUUUCGUUCCAAGGGGUAAUUUCUGUUCUUUUUCUAACAUCUACAUCUCCAAGGAUUUAAUCUAUACUCCUGUGGGUCUCAGAUUCAGUCAAAUAGAGAAAUGGAGAGUUUCUAGCCAGGCAGAAGCCUGGGAAAGAGUUGGGAAAGAAUGUAAAUAAAAGAGCGGUGUAUUUUGAAUAAACCAGAGUUUUACUCUCAGCAGUCUUCUGAGUCAGUCUUCUCAUUCCCGUCCUGCCUCGACAGCGACAUACUCCUGAAGCAACUGAUGACCACACAAAACGUUCAUUUUACAGGAGGUCCCGCUCUGCCCUUGGAAUUCCUUGGAAAAAAUCCACCCUCACCCAAACCUGGUCUUCCUCCUCCAGUCAGUUUUUCUUUAGU